AUGGCUCCGCCUCCAGGUAAGCUGAUGGACACGAUCAGAAGGCCGGUCGCAGCAGCUUCAUCUCUCCAUCAUUCAGCGGCGAAGCAUCUGGCCAUCUUGGCUCAUAGGAACGUGGUUAACAGGAGGUACCUCCUCACUCUACUGGCAUCCGCCGCAGCCAUACCUGAGGCCGGUGAAUCAAGAAAAGCCCUAUUGCAAGAUUAUGUGAAGAAAUCAAAGGAAAACAAAGAAAAGAAUGACAAGGAGAGGCGGGACGCCGUUUACAAAAGGAAUUACAAGGAUUAUUUCGGUUUCAUGGAAGGCCCGGUUAGAGAGAAGCCAGCGGAGGAGCUCACAGAGUCGGAGAAAGGAAUUCUCGCGUGGCUGGACAAGAACAAGUAG
Molecule: ribosomal RNA, 381 nt
Filed under: Triticum aestivum (bread wheat)
Lineage: Eukaryota; Viridiplantae; Streptophyta; Magnoliopsida; Poales; Poaceae
Description: partial small subunit ribosomal RNA
Source: RNAcentral